UACGGAGGGGGCGAGCGUUAUCCGGAAUUACUGGGCUUAAAGGGUGCGUAGGCGGCGCUGUAAGUCAGGAGUGAAAGUUUGCGGCUCAACCGUAAAAUUGCUUUUGAUACUGCGGUGCUGGAAUUAGAAUGAGGUCAGUAGAAUGUGGCAUGUAGCGGUGAAAUGCAUAGAUAUGCCAUAGAACACCAAUUGCGAAGGCAGCUGGCUAGACCUGGAUUGACGCUGAGGCACGAAAGCGUGGGGAGCGAACAGG
RNAcentral lists this ribosomal RNA (253 nucleotides) under uncultured bacterium. RNAcentral's name for it is "partial 16S ribosomal RNA". It matches the Rfam family "Bacterial small subunit ribosomal RNA", at positions 524 to 776 of the family's 1533-position model. The record is from RNAcentral.